AAGUGUCUCUAAUUGUUAGUGAAGAAAACUCACCUACUGCUGGACAUGAUUCGAAUGCAAGACCCUCUGCUGGUCUAGAAUCUGCCGAUGGUGAAUCAUACAGGAUUCCUCCCUCCUCGUCACUGGAAAUUGAAGAGCAACAUGAGGAGCUGGCAGAAUCUAACCCCAGCACGGAUGCUCCCCUGCCAGAGACAUCUAAUGCAGACUCUAAUUCUGGCAUUGAGAAAGCUACAACGAGCACAGAUGAUCCCCUGCCGGAAGCAUCUAAUGCAGACUCUAACUCUGGGGUUGAGGGGGCUGCAACCAGCAUAGAAUAUGUUGUUUGUAACUCAGAUGCUCCCCUGCUUGAGACAUCUAAUGCAGACAACUCUGGGGUUGAGGGGGCUGCAAAUGCAG
Asparagus officinalis (garden asparagus) is the source of this 396-nucleotide long non-coding RNA. RefSeq lists it as uncharacterized. NCBI's taxonomy places the organism in Eukaryota, Viridiplantae, Streptophyta, Magnoliopsida, Asparagales, Asparagaceae. The record is from RefSeq and is a predicted model, not a curated record. The transcript has 4 exons.